This 448-nucleotide ribosomal RNA is filed under the name uncultured Glomus. RNAcentral describes it as "SSU rRNA". It matches the Rfam family "Eukaryotic small subunit ribosomal RNA", at positions 569 to 1022 of the family's 1831-position model. The record is from RNAcentral. Lineage: Eukaryota; Fungi; Glomeromycota; Glomeromycetes; Glomerales; Glomeraceae.
AGCAGCCGCGGUAAUUCCAGCUCCAAUAGCGUAUAUUAAANNUGCUGCAGUUAAAAAGCUCGUAGUUGAAUUUCGGGACCAUCAUGUCGGUCGUGCCUCGGUACGUACUGGCAUUGUUGGUUUCUCCCUUCUGACGAACCAUGAUGUCAUUAAUUUGGUGUUGUGGGGAAUCAGGACUGUUACUUUGAAAAAAUUAGAGUGUUUAAAGCAGGCUCACGCUUGAAUACAUUAGCAUGGAAUAAUGAAAUAGGACGUUUGAUUCUAUUUUGUUGGUUUCUAGGAUCGACGUAAUGAUUAAUAGGGAUAGUUGGGGGCAUUAGUAUUCAAUUGUCAGAGGUGAAAUUCUUGGAUUUAUUGAAGACUAACUACUGCGAAAGCAUUUGCCAAGGAUGUUUUCAUUAAUCAAGAACGAAAGUUAGGGGAUCGAAGACGAUCAGAUACCGUCGUA